This 377-nucleotide ribosomal RNA is filed under the name uncultured bacterium. RNAcentral describes it as "bacterial SSU rRNA". It matches the Rfam family "Bacterial small subunit ribosomal RNA", at positions 524 to 898 of the family's 1533-position model. The record is from RNAcentral.
UACGUAGGGUGCAAGCGUUGUCCGGAAUUAUUGGGCGUAAAGGGCUCGUAGGCGGUCCGUCACGUCGGGAGUGAAAACUUGGGGCUCAACCCCAAGCUUGCUUUCGAUACGGGCGGACUAGAGGUAGGCAGGGGAGAACGGAAUUCCUGGUGUAGCGGUGGAAUGCGCAGAUAUCAGGAGGAACACCGGUGGCGAAGGCGGUUCUCUGGGCCUUACCUGACGCUGAGGAGCGAAAGCGUGGGGAGCGAACAGGAUUAGAUACCCUGGUAGUCCACGCCGUAAACGUUGGGCGCUAGGUGUGGGAUUCAUUCCACGAGUUCCGUGCCGCAGCUAACGCAUUAAGCGCCCCGCCUGGGGAGUACGGCCGCAAGGCUAAA